This 345-nucleotide unclassified non-coding RNA is filed under the name soil metagenome. RNAcentral describes it as "partial contains 5.8S ribosomal RNA, internal transcribed spacer 2, and large subunit ribosomal RNA". The stretch from base 1 to 120 matches the Rfam family "5.8S ribosomal RNA", at positions 35 to 154 of the family's 154-position model. The record is from RNAcentral.
GAUGAAGAACGCAGCGAAAUGCGAUAACUAAUGUGAAUUGCAGAAUUCAGUGAAUCAUCGAGUCUUUGAACGCACAUUGCGCCCCCUGGUAUUCCGGGGGGCAUGCCUGUCCGAGCGUCAUUGCUGCCCUCAAGCACGGCUUGUGUGUUGGGCCUCCGUCCUCCUCCCGGGGGACGGGCCCGAAAGGCAGCGGCGGCACCGCGUCCGGUCCUCGAGCGUAUGGGGCUUCGUCACCCGCUCUUGUAGGCCCGGCCGGCGCUUGCCGACACAUCAAUCUUUUUUCCAGGUUGACCUCGGAUCAGGUAGGGAUACCCGCUGAACUUAAGCAUAUCAAUAAGCGGAGGA